Molecule: long non-coding RNA, 718 nt
Organism: Eriocheir sinensis (Chinese mitten crab)
Lineage: Eukaryota; Metazoa; Arthropoda; Malacostraca; Decapoda; Varunidae
Exons: 6
Source: RefSeq, a predicted model, not a curated record
AUCACAUUUACUGACAUACAAGGGGUGUAGGUUAUCUCAUUUAUCACAUUUACUGACAUACAAGGGGUGUAGGUUAUCUCAUUUAUCACAUUUACUGACAUACAAGGGGUGUAGGUUGUCUCAUUUAUCACAUUUACUGACAUACAAGGGGUGUAGGUUGUCUCAUUUAUCACAUUUACUGACAUACAAGGGGUGUAGGUUAUCUCAUUUAUCACAUUUACUGACAUACAAGGGGUGUAGGUUAUCUCAUUUAUCACAUUUACUGACAUACAAGGGGUGUAGGUUGUCUCAUUUAUCACAUUUACUGACAUACAAGGGGUGUAGGUUGUCUCAUUUAUCACAUUUACUGACAUACAAGGGGUGCAGGUUAUCUCAUUUAUCACAUUUACUGACAUACAAGGGGUGCAGGUUAUCUCAUUUAUCACAUUUACUGACAUACAAGGGGUGCAGGUUAUCUCAUUUAUCACAUUUACUGACAUACAAGGGGUGUAGAUUAUCUCAUUUAUCACAUUUACUGACAUACAAGGGGUGUAGGUUAUCUCAUUUAUCACAUUUACUGACAUACAAGGGGUGUAGGUUAUCUCAUUUAUCACAUUUACUGACAUACAAGGGGUGCAGGUUAUCUCAUUUAUCACAUUUACUGACAUACAAGGGGUGCAGGUUAUCUCAUUUAUCACAUUUACUGACAUACAAAGGGUGCAGGUUAUCUCAUUUAUCA